This 2132-nucleotide ribosomal RNA is filed under the name Staphylococcus aureus. RNAcentral's name for it is "partial 23S ribosomal RNA". It matches the Rfam family "Bacterial large subunit ribosomal RNA", at positions 705 to 2839 of the family's 2925-position model. The record is from RNAcentral. Lineage: Bacteria; Bacillati; Bacillota; Bacilli; Caryophanales; Staphylococcaceae.
GGUCGUAGACCCGAAACCAGGUGAUCUACCCUUGGUCAGGUUGAAGUUCAGGUAACACUGAAUGGAGGACCGAACCGACUUACGUUGAAAAGUGAGCGGAUGAACUGAGGGUAGCGGAGAAAUUCCAAUCGAACCUGGAGAUAGCUGGUUCUCUCCGAAAUAGCUUUAGGGCUAGCCUCAAGUGAUGAUUAUUGGAGGUAGAGCACUGUUUGGACGAGGGGCCCCUCUCGGGUUACCGAAUUCAGACAAACUCCGAAUGCCAAUUAAUUUAACUUGGGAGUCAGAACAUGGGUGAUAAGGUCCGUGUUCGAAAGGGAAACAGCCCAGACCACCAGCUAAGGUCCCAAAAUAUAUGUUAAGUGGAAAAGGAUGUGGCGUUGCCCAGACAACUAGGAUGUUGGCUUAGAAGCAGCCAUCAUUUAAAGAGUGCGUAAUAGCUCACUAGUCGAGUGACACUGCGCCGAAAAUGUACCGGGGCUAAACAUAUUACCGAAGCUGUGGAUUGUCCUUUGGACAAUGGUAGGAGAGCGUUCUAAGGGCGUUGAAGCAUGAUCGUAAGGACAUGUGGAGCGCUUAGAAGUGAGAAUGCCGGUGUGAGUAGCGAAAGACGGGUGAGAAUCCCGUCCACCGAUUGACUAAGGUUUCCAGAGGAAGGCUCGUCCGCUCUGGGUUAGUCGGGUCCUAAGCUGAGGCCGACAGGCGUAGGCGAUGGAUAACAGGUUGAUAUUCCUGUACCACCUAUAAUCGUUUUAAUCGAUGGGGGGACGCAGUAGGAUAGGCGAAGCGUGCGAUUGGAUUGCACGUCUAAGCAGUAAGGCUGAGUAUUAGGCAAAUCCGGUACUCGUUAAGGCUGAGCUGUGAUGGGGAGAAGACAUUGUGUCUUCGAGUCGUUGAUUUCACACUGCCGAGAAAAGCCUCUAGAUAGAAAAUAGGUGCCCGUACCGCAAACCGACACAGGUAGUCAAGAUGAGAAUUCUAAGGUGAGCGAGCGAACUCUCGUUAAGGAACUCGGCAAAAUGACCCCGUAACUUCGGGAGAAGGGGUGCUCUUUAGGGUUAACGCCCAGAAGAGCCGCAGUGAAUAGGCCCAAGCGACUGUUUAUCAAAAACACAGGUCUCUGCUAAACCGUAAGGUGAUGUAUAGGGGCUGACGCCUGCCCGGUGCUGGAAGGUUAAGAGGAGUGGUUAGCUUCUGCGAAGCUACGAAUCGAAGCCCCAGUAAACGGCGGCCGUAACUAUAACGGUCCUAAGGUAGCGAAAUUCCUUGUCGGGUAAGUUCCGACCCGCACGAAAGGCGUAACGAUUUGGGCACUGUCUCAACGAGAGACUCGGUGAAAUCAUAGUACCUGUGAAGAUGCAGGUUACCCGCGACAGGACGGAAAGACCCCGUGGAGCUUUACUGUAGCCUGAUAUUGAAAUUCGGCACAGCUUGUACAGGAUAGGUAGGAGCCUUUGAAACGUGAGCGCUAGCUUACGUGGAGGCGCUGGUGGGAUACUACCCUAGCUGUGUUGGCUUUCUAACCCGCACCACUUAUCGUGGUGGGAGACAGUGUCAGGCGGGCAGUUUGACUGGGGCGGUCGCCUCCUAAAAGGUAACGGAGGCGCUCAAAGGUUCCCUCAGAAUGGUUGGAAAUCAUUCAUAGAGUGUAAAGGCAUAAGGGAGCUUGACUGCGAGACCUACAAGUCGAGCAGGGUCGAAAGACGGACUUAGUGAUCCGGUGGUUCCGCAUGGAAGGGCCAUCGCUCAACGGAUAAAAGCUACCCCGGGGAUAACAGGCUUAUCUCCCCCAAGAGUUCACAUCGACGGGGAGGUUUGGCACCUCGAUGUCGGCUCAUCGCAUCCUGGGGCUGUAGUCGGUCCCAAGGGUUGGGCUGUUCGCCCAUUAAAGCGGUACGCGAGCUGGGUUCAGAACGUCGUGAGACAGUUCGGUCCCUAUCCGUCGUGGGCGUAGGAAAUUUGAGAGGAGCUGUCCUUAGUACGAGAGGACCGGGAUGGACAUACCUCUGGUGUACCAGUUGUCGUGCCAACGGCAUAGCUGGGUAGCUAUGUGUGGACGGGAUAAGUGCUGAAAGCAUCUAAGCAUGAAGCCCCCCUCAAGAUGAGAUUUCCCAACUUCGGUUAUAAGAUCCCUC